GCUCAUCUUAUUUUGUUGGAAUUUUUUACCAGUUUUCACUUUUUUUCUUCUCAUUCUAUUAUAAUUUCAGAAAGAAACAACAACAUAUGUAAAUAAGGGUCCAUUUAGGAUUAUAACCAUGUUGACUUAUUUGUUUAUCUAACUUUUGCUAAACAUUUUGGUUCUAUCUAUCUCCAUCUUAUUAUAAUUUCUGCAAAAACACAACAAAUUGGUAAAAAUCUUGUCUUGAGUGCAAUAACUCCUUAAUUGAUAAUUCUGGGUGUGUUAACUUAUUU
This 275-nucleotide long non-coding RNA is filed under the name Mytilus galloprovincialis (Mediterranean mussel). The record is from RNAcentral. Lineage: Eukaryota; Metazoa; Mollusca; Bivalvia; Mytilida; Mytilidae.